This is a long non-coding RNA of Haliotis rufescens (red abalone), 579 nucleotides long. RefSeq lists it as uncharacterized. The record is from RefSeq and is a predicted model, not a curated record. The transcript has 5 exons. NCBI's taxonomy places the organism in Eukaryota, Metazoa, Mollusca, Gastropoda, Lepetellida, Haliotidae.
UGUCCGCACUGGCCGCGUCAGCAUUAUCUACACAGACGCUGAACAGAUUGCCCAGUCAACACUGCGGGGCCGCCAUCCUUGAAACGUUUAAAGUUACCUAAAAAACAACUUUGGCCCUCAGUUUAGUUGCUGUCACAGAUUAGAGCGGUAUUGCUAUGCAUCUUCCCAGUCUCAUGACUUGUAAUAGCUGCGGCACAAUUUACAGAGUCCUUCAAUAUCAAGCUUUCCUUCUACGGUUCUUUAUGGCAAUACAACGCGGGAUCGAAAGUUCAUGACAACUCUAAGCUGAUCGGCGGCACUUUUGUUGCUGGAGCAGCUUUUUCAGCAACCUCUGCCGGUGCCUAUCUUUUGUGGAAAAAGGUCAUUCAACCGUACGCUAUUCCCGCCUGUCAGAAAUGGCGGGAUCGGUCACGUAACAGUGGUCCCGCUGGCUAUAUUCCGGUAGGGGUCGGCUCUGAAUCGUCAGACGAUGGCGUGGAUGACGUCGAUUACGAUGGUGAUGAUGAAAAUGAGAAGGAAGAGAGAAGUGGAUGCUGUAUCUUGUGAGGGGAAAAAGUGAAACUGAUUUUUGUGGAACAG